UACGAAGGGGGCUAGCGUUGUUCGGAAUUACUGGGCGUAAAGGGCGCGUAGGCGGCGUGUCAAGUCAGGCGUGAAAGCCCUGGGCUCAACCUGGGAAUGGCGGUGGAUACUGAGAGGCUGGAGUACGGUAGAGGAAGGUGGAAUUCCCGGUGUAGCGGUGAAAUGCGUAGAGAUCGGGAGGAACAUCAGUGGCGAAGGCGGCCUUCUGGACCAGUACUGACGCUGAGGCACGAAAGCGUGGGGAGCAAACAGG
RNAcentral lists this ribosomal RNA (253 nucleotides) under uncultured bacterium. RNAcentral's name for it is "partial 16S ribosomal RNA". It matches the Rfam family "Bacterial small subunit ribosomal RNA", at positions 524 to 776 of the family's 1533-position model. The record is from RNAcentral.